AGAUUUCCCAUGGCUAUGUGGAAGAAAUUAAAUGGUUAUGUGAAAGGUCGCCUGCUGUCCCCUCCUGAGCAUCACUGGCGUGCCCAGCCUCCGCUCCUGCCUGCAGCCCGUGCCCGGCCCGCCAUCAAAAUGGGGCAAAGGAGAAAGAAGAACAAUAAGCAUAAAGGAAUAUAAAAAGAAAAGAGGAUUUGAAACGUUAAAUAGAAAACAGAGGCAUCUGUUGGAUUUUAGAGAUCCUUUCUCCAAAAAUCUACGCACGUCCCAGCACCGGCACGCUCUGCUCCAAGAUGAGCAUCUCCCAUAGCAGUUGUGAAGGAUGCUUCACUGAAGCAAGGGGAGAGAGGGAAACCUGCACUUGCUCGGCUUGGUUUUCAACACUGAAGACUUGGUCUCACUGAAAUAUCUUGAAUGAUUCUUAAAUCGCUCACUCACAAGUGCAGUGUUUCUCGAAUAAAAAUGAACUAGUAUCUGAGGGAAUAAACUAAGCCUGUUUUAAAACUUUAA
This is a long non-coding RNA of Numida meleagris (helmeted guineafowl), 504 nucleotides long. RefSeq lists it as uncharacterized. The transcript has 2 exons. The record is from RefSeq and is a predicted model, not a curated record. Lineage: Eukaryota; Metazoa; Chordata; Aves; Galliformes; Numididae.